CUUAGCUGAGGCUCUUUGGGGGUUCGGAGUAUGAAAACCGGCGGCCACCAUCCUGACCUGUGUGGAUGGGUUAGAAAGGCCAGGAGGGAGAGAGGAAGAGGGCAACCAUCCUGACCUGUGCGGGUGGGUUAGAAAGGCCAGGAGGGAGAGAGGAAGAGGGCAGAAAAGACCCGACCGUGGCGACCCCUGCACAAGCUUGGGGGAAAGACGAGGGGAGAGAAAUGGCUGAGAGAGCGGGGAGAGAAAAACUAGGUGGAAAACCUUCUGGACAAGCCAAGCGAAUCCAGCCUGAACGAAAAGAGACGCCGCUGAGUGGGAAGGAGGACGUUGGCACCCACUCGCUUUGGUGAGAAUCAGAGAAGCAAGAAAUAGGAAGUUGACGGAGAGCCACCGUCCGGGGGAUGGCCAGCGCUAGAAGGAAAUGGAUUCGGAGUUCAUUUAUUUGUUUUAUUUGAAGCUUACCUUCUGUCGUAGAAUUGCUCCUGAGCAUUGGCUCCAAGGCAACAGAGUUGGAAGGGGUUGGAGGUUCAGCGGCUUGCCCAGAGUGGCACAGCUUGGGCGUGUCUGAGGCCAGAUUUGAACCCCAAAACUCGCCUCUGCAGGCCUGGCUCUCUAUUCCUGGAGCCGGCCGGGCUGUCUCUAAUACGGUUUUUUAAAAUGCCAGUCAGUGGUCAGGACCCAAAGGCACCGAGAAGAAAAGUGCCAACUGGGGCAGCUUGAAGGGUGCCCUCUUGGCCUGGACGUUGUCAGAGAGGGCCGCACUGGGGAGGGUGGGAGGACGGACACACGAGUGAGCUCUCUUGCUCGCUGCUGGAGAAGCUUCGGAUGGGUCACAGGUCACAGAGUCAGUCAGCUAGCCUUUGCUGGCGGCUCCUGGGUGCCAGGCCAGGCCUCGGCCUACCAGGGAAGGCAGAAGCCCCCCUAGCCCUCGGGGGGGCAAGGCCCCAGGAAUUUGGACAGAUAGGGGUGAUUGGAGGGUUGGGGAGUCUCAGAGAUGGGGGGCUCCGAGAGGAAGAAGAGGAGGAGGAAGGAAGAGAGAAGGAGGUCCCCUCAAGGGUUGUCCAGUCUGCUCUGUCCGGCCUGUUUCGCCCUCCCUGACCAGCAGGGGCCACUCUCUGGGCUGGCCUCUCUCAGGUUCCGGCCUGGACCUGCAGGAGGCCUGUGCAGGGGUCACGGGCAGCGAGCUAGGGGCUGCUUCUUCCCCUUUCCCGGGCAUGGGCUGGCCCCAGGGCAGCAGGGGGCUGAAGGACAUGACCGAUGCAGAGACUUGUGGCCCUCCUCAGCAGACCUCAGCGGGCACCGGACCCAGGCCCUAGCCCCAGACCUUCCAGGUCCAACCUGAACGUGGCCUUGGAGGAAUGCAUGACUGCCCUGGACCUCUUCCUCACCAACCAGUUCUCCGAGGCGCUCACCUACCUGCAGCCCAAGUAGGAGCCUCACUUGUUGGGGAUGGGGGAUGGGAGGGGGCUCCUCCCUCAGCAGAUGUUUCCAUCUGUGUGAUGGGCAGCACCCAGCAGCCUCGGAGCUUCUUGCCCUCUGCUAUGAAUCAGCUUCCUGGCAGGUCCUUUAACCGCUUGGAGCCUCUGUUUUCUCAUCUGUAAAAUGGGGGAAAUCAUGGCUCCUCCCUCUCAGGGCUGCUGGGAGGAUCAAAUGAGAUCACCCCCCCCAGUACCGAAUGAAUGCUGGGGCUAACGAUGGGACAGUCCCUGCUUGCAGGGGGCUUACGGUCUUCUGGGGGCCGGCACCCACGUACUCACCUCGGGGUCAGGGAGGGCUUCAUGGAAGCAGAGGUACUUGGGUAGAGCUUCGGACGGGAAUGAGGCUUCUGAGGAGGGUCACUGAGGAGGGCAGGCAUCCCAGGCAAGGGGCACGACCUAAGCAAAGGCAAGGAGAUGAGAGAAGGAACGUCAAGAUGAUGAAAUAGUCAGCAGGGCCAUUUUGGACCGAAGGACUAGAGAGGCAAAAAGGCUUAUCCAAAGCUACACAGCCAGUCAUUACCAGGACCAGACUGUCAACAGGAAAGUGAGAGGAGCAGGGGAGAGAGAGAGACAGAAGAGGGAACUGGGGGGGC
RNAcentral lists this long non-coding RNA (2071 nucleotides) under Monodelphis domestica (gray short-tailed opossum). RNAcentral's name for it is "lncRNA (ENSMODG00000049834.1)". The record is from RNAcentral. Lineage: Eukaryota; Metazoa; Chordata; Mammalia; Didelphimorphia; Didelphidae.